AAAGUCGUAACAAGGUAACCGUAGGUGAACCUGCGGUUGGAUCAUUAACAAUCAAAAAGAGUCUUUUAAGUAGGCUCGCACUGGAUUUAUCCAGUUUCAACCCCUGUGAAAUGGAUCGUCAAGUGUGUGGGGCUUUUUUUGUCCCCGCACCACUAUCAAAAAAAUCUUUUAAAACAUCACUGAAUCAGAGACAAUGAGAAACAACUUUUGACAACGGAUCUCUUGGCUCUC
RNAcentral lists this unclassified non-coding RNA (231 nucleotides) under fungal sp. Its description in RNAcentral is "partial internal transcribed spacer region". The stretch from base 1 to 47 matches the Rfam family "Eukaryotic small subunit ribosomal RNA", at positions 1785 to 1831 of the family's 1831-position model. The record is from RNAcentral. Lineage: Eukaryota; Fungi.